RNAcentral lists this long non-coding RNA (6544 nucleotides) under Homo sapiens (human). RNAcentral's name for it is "non-protein coding lnc-ABCC5-3:5". Lineage: Eukaryota; Metazoa; Chordata; Mammalia; Primates; Hominidae. The record is from RNAcentral.
GUCUUCCCCGGGAGCCCACAGGGGUCUGAGGUUGAUCCCGGAGGCGCGAGGAGUCGGUACGGGUCACGGUUGUCCCGGCCCCUGAGGCGCAGGGUAGGAGUGGGGUCCCAUAGAUGUCAGACUCGGUCUGCAAGUAUCGUCGGCCUUCAUUUGUAGGUGAACAAGCCGAGAUUCUUGUGGCGUGAUAGGACUUGUGGUCGCCACGAAGGGGCCAGCUCCAUCGGGAAUCUGUAAUCGCCCAGCAGUUUCCCCGCCCCGCGCAUGUGAAAUAUGUAGCCCUCCGUAUUCAUUCUAGAAACUUCUGGGAACCCAGCGCCUUGGGGAGAUAGAACCGAGCCAGAUGUUCCCCCGCUGCGAGGAACUCAGAACCUGCAUAAAUAGAGAAGGUGGCAGGCAUAUAGUAGGGAGACCAGUAAUUCCAUUGAGCGCUGAUUUUGGGCCAGGCACGAUACAAGCAUUAUCUCUGCAAAACAUCUUAUUCAUUCGUUCAGCAAACGUUUCUUGAACUCUCAGAAGGAUGAAGGAAGUUUACCCAGCUAGUAAGUGGAAGAACUGGUAUUGGAACCCGAUCUGUCUGACUGCAGAGUUCCACAAUCUUGCUGCCAAGUUAUGUGGGGAUAACAAUGACUAUUUUAUGUCAUCUAUUCAUUCUUCCAGCCUAUCAGCCUCCUGUGUCUUAAGCAGAGUGGAGACGGGGGUGGAUCCAGGCGCACCAGUAAGUUGUACUGGAGUUAAGCAGUAAGCUUUCUGGGCAGAGGAAAGUGCGGGCGUAAAGGUCCAAGGCUUGAAAAGGCGCAGCAGCACCUUUUUCUCUUUGGGGAAAGAAGCGGUGGCUGCGGGGAAUAAACCAACUCUGUAGAGGGGCGGGGCCGUGGGAAAGCGGUGGAACGGGGCAGGAAGGCUGGGCGUCAUUUGGGAGGCAAGGAACUUUUCUGUAAGGCAUAGCGCCCUUUCUGCACGGGACCUGUCCAGGUUCCACGCCACAGGCUUCUGCAGUUCCUGCAAACUGUUCCCAUCCCGCCCCGCGUUGCACGUCGGGAUUUGGAGUUCGCGAUGCUGAGAGCUGUUUCCACGUGGCGAUUCCGACUUGACCCGUCGUGCUCCGGCGCCCGCCUAGGGGGACCGAGGAGUUUGUCAUUUCUUGCCUCGUUAGGGUGCGGAACGAAAACCAUUUGAUUUAUCCUAGAAAAGGAAAGGCUGAAGCCAACUAAGUAAAAGUUUUCCAUUAAAUGAAUGCACGUUGUAGAAAAGGAAUGUUCAACUGCCCUACAAAUCCAGAGGUAGAAAUGGGGGAGGGGAGAAGGAAUUAAAUAGGACACACACACACACACACAAACACACACACACACACACUCUUGGGGGGGUGUUUGGGUAUGGAAAGUAGGUCCGAUUGCAGAAUUUAUUUUAAAUGAUUCCCGCAACCUUGGGAAGUUGGGAAGUGGUGAAUCCGCUGCCGAAAGGCAUUUGUGCUUAUGGUAAAUCCAGGUCUUAAAAUUCUGUAGACUGGUAGCUAUAUGGAUAUGAUUUUAAUAGACGAGUUUCAGGAAGACUCUCUCAAACUGUUUUUUGUUGUUGUUGUUUAAAAACUUACUUGAAAUAUAUUGGAAACCACAUAUACAUAAUCUCUCACACACACUACAUAAAGAAGUAAAAAUUCCUUUCCCUACUUCUUUCAUCCUAUCCAAUUUGUAGAGUCAUAACCAUUCUUAAUAAUUUGAUGGGUAUUCAUUUCUUCCCUAAAUUUAUAUGUCUAGAACUAGAGCUAGAGUGUAUGCCUACAUACACACACACACACACCCAUACAUAUAUAUUCAAACAUAAUAUAUGUAUAUCCACAUGUAUUCAAACACAGAAUUAUGUUUAGAUAAUUAUGGUUAUAUGCUGGUAUGCCAGAGCCAGACUGCCUGGCUUCGGUUCCAGGCCCUAGUUGGAUAGCUUUGGGCUACUCAGCCUCUUUAUGCCUGGACUUCUUCAUCUUUGAAAUGGGAUAAUAAUAAUACUUAUCCCAUAAAGUUAUUGUGAGAAUUAAAUGAAAUAAUAUAUGAAAAGCCCUUAGAACAGGCAUUGACACAUUGUGAAGGUAAUGUAUUAGCUAUUUUGAUGAUUAUGCAUUUUGUCUGCAACUUGAUUUUUAUUUAACAUAUGUGGGAAAGUAGACAAACAUAGCCAUUUUCAAUGAUUCCAUAAUAUUCCAUAGCACGAGUAUACCAUUGUUUAUCGAACCAUUUCUCUCUUGAGAAACAUUGCAGAUUUUUUUUGCAGUUUCUACGAUUACAAAUAAUGCUGCAAUAAACAUCUUUCUACAUAUAGUCUUUAUAAAUUUGCGUUUAUUUCUUAGAAUUUAUUAUUGAAUUAGAGUAACUGGUUCAAAUUGGAUGCAAUUCCCAUGGCAGAAGGUACAUUGUUGAACUCACUGGCAAGCCUGAUGAGGCACUGGUGGAAUUCAUGGAGAUACUGCUUAAUUGCUCUCCCUGGACAAUGUGUCAUUUUGCACUUACACCAGCAAUGUAUGAGAGCGCCUGUUUCCCCAUAGCCUCACCAACAGAGUAUUUUGUCAAUAGUUUGGAGUUUCUGCCAAUCUGUAAAGGAAAAUAAGUGUAGUUUUAAUUUGCAUUUCUCUAUUUCAGUGAGGUUGAACAUUUUUUCAUAUAUUUGGUCAACUGCCAGUUCUGGUUCUUUUUCUUUUUUUUUUUCUUUUUGAGACAGAGUCUCACUCUGUCUCCCAGGCUGGAGUGUAGUGGCACGAUCUUGGCUCACUGCAACCUCUGCCUCCGAGGUUCAAGUGAUUUUCCUACCUAGGCCCCCCUGAAUAGCUGGGAUUACAGGCUCACACCACUACACCUGGCUGAUUUUUGUAUUUUUAAUAAAGGUGGGGUUUUGCCAUAUUGGCCAGGCUGGUCUCAAACUCCUGACUUCAGGUGAUCCACCUGCCUUGGCCUCUCAAAGUGCUGGGAUUACAGGUGUGAGCCACCGCACCCAGCCUCUUUUUCUUUUCUUUUCUUUCUUUCUUUUUGUUUAGAAACAGGGUUGUGCUCUGUUGCCCAGGCUGGAGUACAGUAGCACAAUCAUAGCUCACUGCAGCCUCAAACUCUUGGGCUCAAGCAGUCCUUCCUCAGCCUCCAGAGUAGCUGGGACAACAGGCACCUGCCACCACACCUAAGUUUUGUAGUUUUUGUAGAAAUGGGGUCUUUCUGUGUUGCUCAGGCUAGUUCUGGUUCUUUCUCUGAAUUUAGAUUUCAAAAUGAGUCUUGAAUAUGAAAUCAGUUUAGAAUAUAAUCUCUGUGGGCCUUCUGUUUAUUUUAUUCACUACUAUACCCCAGGUACCUAGAAGAGUAACUGGCACAUGGCAGAUGCUCACUAAAUAUUUGUUGAACGAAUGACUGGUUGUUGCUAGUCAGUAACUGAGUAUGUGAUCAACUGUAGACAAACAAAAGUAAUUCCUGACUCUCCCAAGGCUGAGGCUGUUUUUAAAAGAUUAUGGUAAAAAUACAACAAAACAUAAAAGUUAUCAUCUUAACAAUUUUUUAACCUUGGCAUGGAAAAUUGAUCGAAGUUGGCCAUUUUUAAGUAUACAACUCUGUAGUGUUACUUAUGUUCACGUUGUUGUGCUACCAUCACCAACAUCCACCCACAGAACUCUUCAUUUUGUAAAACUGAUACUCUGUACCCAUUAAACACAAUCCUCAUUUCCCACUCAGUCCAGCUCCUGGCAACUACCAUGCCACUUUCUGUCUCUGUGAAUUUGACUGCCCUAGGUCCCUCAUAUAAGAGGAAUCACAUAGUAUUUUUUUUGUAUCUGCCUUAUUUCACUUAGCAUAAUGUCCUCAAGGUUCAUCCAUAUUGUUGCAUGUUUCAGAAUUUCCUUCCGUUUAAAGGCUGAAUGAUAAUCCAUUGGCUGUAGAUACCACAUUUUAUUUAUCCAUUUAUCUGUCAAUGGACACUUCUUCGGUUGUUUCCCCCUUUUGCUAUUGUGGAUAAUGCCACUACGAACGUGAUCGUACAAAUAUCUGUUCCAGUCCCUGUUUUCACUGAAAUAAAUGGAACUACUGUAUCAUAUGGUAACUCUACAUUUAAUUUUUUGAGAAAUUGCCAUACUUUUUUUCAUUUUUCUUUUCUUUUCUUUUUUUUUUUUUUUUUUUGGUUUUGAGAUGGAGUCUUACUCUGUCACCCAGGCUGGAGUGCAGUGACACGAUCUCGGCUCACUACAACCUCUGCCUCCCGGGUUCAAGCAAUUCUCCUGCCUCAGCUUCCCUAGAAGCUAGGAUUACAGGUGCACACCACUGCGCCUGGCUAAUUUUUGUAUUGUUAGUAGAGACGGGGGUUUCACUGUUUUGGCCACAGUGGUCUCAAACUCCUGACCUCCGGUGAUCCACCUGCCUUGGCUUCCCAAAGUGCUGGGAUUACAGGCGUGAGCCACCGUGCCUGGCCCCCAUUUUUUGAGACAGGGUCUUGCUCUGUCACCUAGGCUGGAGUGCAGUGGCGCAAUCAUGGCUCGCUGUAGCCUCAAACUCGUGGGCUCAAGCAAUCCUCCUGCCUCAGCCUCCCAUAGUGCUGGGAUUAUAGGCAUGAGUCACCACACUCAGCUGCCAUAUAUAUAAUUUUUACAGCAGAUGCCCCAUUUUACAUUCCCACCUGCAGUGAACAAGGGUUUCAAUUUCUUCACAUCCUUAGUAACACUUCUAUUUUUUUUUCUUUUUUUUUUUUUUGAGAUAGAGUCUUGUUCUGUUGCCCAGGCUGGAGUGCAGUGGUGUGAUCUUGGCUCACUGCAACCUCCACCUCCCAGGUUCAAGCAAUACUCCUGCCUCAGCCUCCUGAGUAGCUGAGAUUACAGGCAUGUGCCACCAUACCCAGCCAAUUUUUCUAUUUUUAGUAGAGGCAGGGUUUCACCGUGUUGGCCAGGCUGGUCUCAAACUCCUAACCUCAAGUGAUCCGCCCGCCUCGGCCCCCCAAAGUGCUGAGAUUACAGGCAUUAGCCACUGCACCUGGCCUGUUUUCUUCUAACUUUAAGUGGCACUUUUCCCAUUCCAAAAUUCUACUUAUAAAUAUAUUAAAAUAAUGGUAGGAUAUGUCCCCUUCAGGGCACCCUUGAUGCGUAUACAAGAGCUGGCUUUUUCUAGGCACUGCUAAAGAGCCAGGGCUCUGGUGACAGGAAGCAUUAAACUGGUGGAGCACCUUGAGGGUAAGUCUUGGGGCCUUUUGUGCUUCUCAGCUGGGCUCACUUGUUGCUUAGUGGACCAAGCUUGUUCACUGCUGUGAGUAUCAUUUAUUUUUCUAGUUACUUUGGGUCUGCAGUAGUAGUUGAGUUCUAAAUAUACUAUGGGAUAGCUGAGGUCCGUGUCCUAGGUUGCUAGAAAAUGACAGAAGAAAUACAGUUCUGGACUGGAUAUGUGGCUCACACCUGUAAUCCCAGUACUUUGGGAGGCCGAGGUGGGUGGAUUACCUGAGGUCAGGAGUUCGAGACCAGCCUGGCCAACAUGGCAAAACCCCAUCUCUGCUAAAAAACAAAACAAAACAAAACAAAACAAAAAUUAGCCGGGCAUGGUGGUGUGCACCUGUAAUUCCAGCUACUUGGAAGGCUGAGGCAGGAGAAUCACUUGAACCUGGGAGGCGGAGGUUGCAGUGAGCUGAUAUCACCCACUGUGCCUGGGUGACAGAGCGAGACUCUGUCUCAAACAAAAACAAAAACAAAAUCAAAAACAACAACAACAAAAAACAACUGAGUUCUUCCCUGUUUUUCUUAGCAUGUCCAGAGAUAUACCUAGUCUCCAGGGUAUAACAAUUCUUUUUGUCUUCUAGGCUGAGGUUUGAGGGAAAAAAUGUCCUUUAAGUUUUAUCCAUAGUAGAGUUGAAACAGGUUGGGAUUUUUCAGAAGAGACUUUACUCAAAAUCCUAAGGGAAGAGAAGGGAGAAAAAAUGAAAAUAAAGUCAUUAACAAUAAAUACACUACUUUGGCUGGGCCCUGCCUCAUGAGAGGCCAGAGUGGCUUGUGGAGUUUGGCAACACCGCCCCCCCUAGAGGUAAUUGCUGUGCUGCGCUCCAACCUCUCCAACAAUUGUUAGACUCUUCAGAUCCCUGUUGAUACAGAGCAUUCCAGGAUUGUGAAGUGGGAGCCAGCCACAUCCAUGAUGUUCAUGGAGCCUAGAAGAGCCCUGUGGAAACAAAUUUUACCUGGUUACACUGAGAUCCAGACAUGCACAGACCAGCCCUCUUGAAGAGAGCUUGAGCUUCCUGACUGGGGCUGGAAUGGAGAGAGACAAUGAAGUUCCUGAGAGUAUUGCCAGGAGAAAAAGGUGUGGCUGAAUGGAUCAGCCGAAACAUCAGGGGCUUGAAUCCAGAGGGAGGAUGGGGUCUCGCUAUGUUGCUCAGGCUGGUCUCAAACUCCUGGCCUUAAGCAGUCCUCCUGCCUCAGCUUCCAAAAGUGCUGGGAUUGCAGGUGUGAGCAUCUGCACCUAGCCAACAAUCAUUUAUUGUAUAUUUCACAGUAGCUAGAAGAGAAGGGUUGUAAUGUUCCCAACACAAAGAAAGAUAGGGCUGGCCACAGUGG